UGGCGAACGGGUGAGUAACGCGUGGGUGACCUACCUUCGAAUGGGGGAUAACGUCCCGAAAGGGACGCUAAUACCGCAUAACAUCCUGUCCUUGAACGGAUGGAGAUCAAAGCCGGGGAUCGCAAGACCUGGCGUUUGAAGAGGGGCCCGCGUCUGAUUAGCUAGUUGGUGAGGUAACGGCCCACCAAGGCGACGAUCAGUAUCCGGCCUGAGAGGGCGGACGGACACACUGGGACUGAGACACGGCCCAGACUCCUACGGGAGGCAGCAGUGGGGAAUUGUUCGCAAUGGGCGCAAGCCUGACGACGCAACGCCGCGUGGAGGAUGAAGGUCUUCGGAUUGUAAACUCCUGUUGCCCGGGACGAAUGGCUCCAACCUAAUACGUUGGAGUGUGACGGUACCGGGUGAGGAAGCCCCGGCUAACUCUGUGCCAGCAGCCGCGGUAAUACAGAGGGGGCGAGCGUUGUUCGGAAUUACUGGGCGUAAAGGGCGCGUAGGUGGCCUGCUAUGUCGAACGUGAAAUCCCUGGGCUCAACCCAGGAACUGCGUCCGAAACUGGCGGGCUCGAAUCCGGGAGAGGGAUGUGGAAUUCCAGGUGUAGCGGUGAAAUGCGUAGAUAUCUGGAGGAACACCGGUGGCGAAGGCGGCAUCCUGGACCGGUAUUGACGCUCAGGCGCGAAAGCCAUGGGAGCAAACGGGAUUAGAUACCCCGGUAGUCCUGGCCCUAAACGAUGAAUGCUUGGUGUGGCAGGUAUCGAUCCCUGCCGUGCCGAAGCUAACGCAUUAAGCAUUCCGCCUGGAGAGUACUGUCGCAUCGCUGAAACUCAGAGGAAUUGACGGGGGC
Molecule: ribosomal RNA, 844 nt
Filed under: uncultured bacterium
Lineage: Bacteria
Description: bacterial SSU rRNA
Rfam family: Bacterial small subunit ribosomal RNA
Source: RNAcentral